GACAGAGGGAGCUAGCGUUGUUCGGAAUUACUGGGCGUAUAGCGCGCGUAGGCGGCGAAUCAAGUCAGGGGUGAAAUCCCGGGGCUCAACCCCGGAACUGCCCUUGAAACUAGCUCGCUAGAAUCUUGGAGAGGUCAGUGGAAUUCCGAGUGUAGAGGUGAAAUUCGUAGAUAUUCGGAAGAACACCAGUGGCGAAGGCGACUGACUGGACAAGUAUUGACGCUGAGGUGCGAAAGCGUGGGGAGCAAACAGG
RNAcentral lists this ribosomal RNA (253 nucleotides) under uncultured bacterium. RNAcentral's name for it is "partial 16S ribosomal RNA". It matches the Rfam family "Bacterial small subunit ribosomal RNA", at positions 524 to 776 of the family's 1533-position model. The record is from RNAcentral.